UCACUUUUGAUGUAUAUUCUGAAGUUUCGGUACUUAAAUCAAACGAGGGAUUAAACCAAGCAGAAGAAGAAAUUAUCCACGGAUCUGUUCAAACUGACGUAGUACUGGAAAUGGAAUUUGGAAAUUUCGAACAAGGCUGCAAAUGCUUGG
Long non-coding RNA from Hibiscus syriacus, 150 nucleotides. RefSeq lists it as uncharacterized. The transcript is spliced from 3 exons. NCBI's taxonomy places the organism in Eukaryota, Viridiplantae, Streptophyta, Magnoliopsida, Malvales, Malvaceae. The record is from RefSeq and is a predicted model, not a curated record.